CGAAUUUUGUGGAUUAUUAUUUUUAGCUUGUAUUUCUCUUUUUUUUUAUUUUUUAUUACUAUUGAAUGAUGGGGAUUUGAUUUAAUUUCAGCAGAUGGCUUCAAAACCCAAAAUCUAUCAGUUUGAUGAAGUUGUAAAGCACAAGGAUAGAUACGAUUGUUGGCUUAUAAUCCAUGGGAAGGUCAGUUCUCAAUUUCUCGUUCAAUUGUCUUUAGUUGACUUUUUUUCUUCAUUUAUAUAGAAUAUCUGGUGAACUCUACUUGCAAUCUUCUGCUCUGCUCUGCUCUCAUAGUUGCUUUUCAUCUAAAUUAGAUCGAGUCGCAGAGCUACAGAGCUAGAUCUGCGGUUAAAUUACGUUUCAAUUAGAGUUUUCUUUCAUCUAGAAGGGCAAUAACAAAGAAAUCAUAGGAACAGCAAGUAAAAAUUGAUUCUUUACAAUAGGAAAUGAUCUAUGUGGAAAAAAUUUGUAUUUUGAUAUUAAUUAAUCUUAAACUGCUCUAUCAGGUGUACGAUGUAACCCAUUUUCUGGACGAACACCCUGGAGGGGAAGAAGUGUUGGUUGCAGCUACUGGUAAGAUUGCAAUUCUGUAAACCAACCAAGCUCACUAGUCAGUAGUUAGUUUUUUACCGCUGGAUUUCGUUCUUAAAUGGGUUAUUAAUCAAGAACAUUCAUUGCUUAACAUGACUUAAAUUAAUCAAAUAUCAUCUGAAAUUCCGCAGAGAAAGAUGCAACUGAUGAUUUUGACGAUGUUGGUCACAGCUCCUCGGCAAAAGAGCUGAUGAACAGGUACUAUAUCGGUGACAUUGAUGUCAAAAGCGUUCCACCCCCUGGAAAGAAGUACACUCCUCCCCCAAUUAAUCCUCCAAAAGCAAUAAACAAGUACUAUGCAAUCUUGGCGAAACUAUUACAACUCUUGUUACCGCUGCUGAUCCUGGGUGGAGCAUUUGCGGUGCGAUCAGCAAUAAAAAAGGACUAGUAUCUUUGUGAUAAUUUUUCCCUUGGAGGAAUGACUAUACAAGUCUUAGAACGCAUUUUGUUGUUUCGACUGUUCUGCUUAUCAGCAAAUCUCUGUAUUUUGUUUCUAAAUUCUAAUAAAAUUGGGCUUCUUCCUUCACGCUAUAUUUUGCAAGUUAGUACUUCCUCCUUUGUUGGCCAAAAAACAGAAAGAAAAUCAUCUUUCUUGCAAAGAAAAUCAUCUUUCUUGCUUGUUAAUAUUGACGCGUUCUCGAAUUUCACUACUUUACGAUGGUGCUUGAUCACUGCGGCAAAUAGUUAGCCAGACAUCUCUCAAUCAUCAUCUCAGGAUUGGAAGAUGUGCUUGCACGAAUCUCAUCUAAGGACCAAUGAUAAGUGGGUAUAUUUACCCUGCAAGUGAAGGACCCUUCUCUCGAGUGGGAUUUUGUACAUGAAUUUUCCAAAAUUAUUGGUUCGGUCCGCCCAACGGCUAAUAAAAUCCUCUAAUGACCAUGGCUUUCUUUGUUGAAUUGCGCUUUGAAGCCACUAAUUUGCAGUUGUGUCAAUUUUGGCAUUCGGUUACCUCCUUUAUUGAGGAGCUAAGCCAUGAUUCUAGCUUUGUUGGGAUCCCAUUUCUACUCAAAUCUUAGUUUAAGGAUGUGUAUAAUGACUCAU
RNAcentral lists this unclassified non-coding RNA (1630 nucleotides) under Hevea brasiliensis (rubber tree). The record is from RNAcentral. Lineage: Eukaryota; Viridiplantae; Streptophyta; Magnoliopsida; Malpighiales; Euphorbiaceae.